AGAGUUUGAUCCUGGCUCAGAUUGAACGCUGGCGGCAGGCCUAACACAUGCAAGUCGAACGCGAAAAUUCCUUCGGGAAUGAGUAGAGUGGCGGACGGGUGAGUAACGCGUGGGAAUCUACCUGGUAGCGGGGGAUAACUCGGGGAAACUCGAGCUAAUACCGCAUACGCCCUACGGGGGAAAGGAGGGGAUCUUCGGACCUUUCACUAUCAGAUGAGCCCGCGUUAGAUUAGCUUGUUGGUGAGGUAAUGGCUCACCAAGGCGACGAUCUAUAGCUGGUCUGAGAGGAUGAUCAGCCACACUGGGACUGAGACACGGCCCAGACUCCUACGGGAGGCAGCAGUGGGGAAUAUUGCGCAAUGGGCGAAAGCCUGACGCAGCCAUGCCGCGUGUGUGAAGAAGGCCUUCGGGUUGUAAAGCACUUUCAAUAGGGAGGAAAACUUGUAGGUUAAUACCCUGCAAGCCUGACGUUACCUAUAGAAGAAGCACCGGCUAACUCCGUGCCAGCAGCCGCGGUAAUACGGAGGGUGCGAGCGUUAAUCGGAAUUACUGGGCGUAAAGCGCGCGUAGGCGGCUUCGUCAGUCAGAUGUGAAAGCCCC
Molecule: ribosomal RNA, 600 nt
Filed under: uncultured marine bacterium
Lineage: Bacteria
Description: bacterial SSU rRNA
Rfam family: Bacterial small subunit ribosomal RNA
Source: RNAcentral